GGACGCAAAAAAGAAGAGUGGUAGUACUAUCAAUGGUUCAGUCAGCGCCUCAACAGCGUCUGCACUACUUCUGAUAUUGUUUUUCAGUAGCUUUUUUCUGCACCUUUCUCUUUCAGUUCUUAGUGCUGCUGCCCCAUGAACACAUUUUUUUAUUUGACUGUACAUUCAAAUGAAGCCUUUGUUAAGUAUACACUCCAAAAUUCAGUUAACAGUAGCCUAACUGAAUUUUUCUGUUUCUGAAUUUAUAAACUCACUUUAUAUUCAGUUUAUAAAUUAACAAGUAGCUUCAAAAUUAAGUAUCAUUCGCAUGGAUCAACUGUUAUUUUAUUUUGUGGAGGAUAAAGUUCAGAUCAUGAAUAAUGGCAUUACAAGUGAACUUGGCACAAUUACACAUGUCCUGAACCUCAUAGAAUCUGACACUAGCAAGUCUUCAUUGGCAUGCAAGUACUACUUUUACAUUGUCAUGACAGGAACAAUUAAUUUGACAUGUAUCAUUGGUACUGCUAAAACAUUUCGUUCAUGUUUCAACAAAUUUGGUGAAGACCACUUCAUAUGUAUUUUGCAUAUAUGAAUUAUCUCCUGUUGCUUUCUAAGAUGUUAGUUCUUUCAGUUCUAGCCCUCCUAUCUUUAAUUCCUGGCUGCUGGACUACCUGCAGGACAACGAGUUCAUUUGCGGCAGCUAUCGCUGUGAGCAGUCCGUCCACAACGCGCUCCGCAGCGUCUUCGCCGGGCACAACGAGAUCCUCAACGUCUGGAAGGAUAAAGUGAAGAAAAAGAAGAAAAGAUUACUAGAAGAUUAGUUUUAGGAUUUUCUUUUAUUUCCUUGCAAUUUUCCUUUUAUUGGAAACUUGUAAAGACAUUGUAAUAUUCUUACUAUAAUAAAAAUUAUGAUUCUAUUUCA
Non-coding RNA from Triticum urartu, 901 nucleotides. NCBI's taxonomy places the organism in Eukaryota, Viridiplantae, Streptophyta, Magnoliopsida, Poales, Poaceae. The record is from RefSeq and is a predicted model, not a curated record.